RNAcentral lists this ribosomal RNA (396 nucleotides) under uncultured bacterium. RNAcentral describes it as "partial 16S ribosomal RNA". It matches the Rfam family "Bacterial small subunit ribosomal RNA", at positions 523 to 918 of the family's 1533-position model. The record is from RNAcentral.
AUACGUAGGUGGCGAGCGUUAUCCGGAUUUACUGGGUGUAAAGGGCGCGUAGGCGGGGAAGCAAGUCGGAUGUGAAAUCCAUGGGCUCAACUCAUGAACUGCAUUUGAAACUGUUUCUCUUGAGUGCCGGAGAGGUAGACGGAGUUCCUAGUGUAGCGGUGAAAUGCGUAGAUAUUAGGAGGAACACCAGUGGCGAAGGCGGUCUACUGGACGGUAACUGACGCUGAGGCGCGAAAGCGUGGGGAGCAAACAGGAUUAGAUACCCUGGUAGUCCACGCUGUAAACGAUGAAUACUAGGUGUGGGGGGACUGACCCCCUCCGUGCCGCAGUUAACACAAUAAGUAUUCCACCUGGGGAGUACGGCCGCAAGGCUGAAACUCAAAGGAAUUGACGGGG